This 29-nucleotide non-coding RNA is filed under the name Homo sapiens (human). Lineage: Eukaryota; Metazoa; Chordata; Mammalia; Primates; Hominidae. The record is from RNAcentral.
UNUCUACUCUGGCACUGCUAAUCCUCCGG